This 118-nucleotide non-coding RNA is filed under the name Spirochaeta sp. RNAcentral's name for it is "c-di-GMP sequence". It matches the Rfam family "c-di-GMP-I-GGC riboswitch aptamer". Lineage: Bacteria; Pseudomonadati; Spirochaetota; Spirochaetia; Spirochaetales; Spirochaetaceae. RNAcentral also lists the same sequence under 1 other name. The record is from RNAcentral.
GCCAUAAAAGCCACACCCAUCGUGAGAUGGGGUCGGAAAGCAACGGGUCUUGAAAUAUUCAAAUUGACUAUCAGCUAAAUAUUCUCCACGUGUGGAUAAGACAGCCGGGCUGCCGAGU